RNAcentral lists this ribosomal RNA (349 nucleotides) under uncultured bacterium. RNAcentral describes it as "partial 16S ribosomal RNA". It matches the Rfam family "Bacterial small subunit ribosomal RNA", at positions 338 to 698 of the family's 1533-position model. The record is from RNAcentral.
CCUACGGGUGACGGCAGUCGAGAAUCAUUCACAAUGGGGGAAACCCUGAUGCUGCGACGCCGCGUGGGGGAAUGAAGGUCUUCGGAUUGUAAACCCCUGUCAUGUGGGAGCAAAUUAAAAAGAUAGUACCACAAGAGGAAGAGACGGCUAACUCUGUGCCAGCAGCCGCGGUAAUACAGAGGUCUCAAGCGUUGUUCGGAAUCACUGGGCGUAAAGCGUGCGUAGGCUGUUUCGUAAGUCGUGUGUGAAAGGCGCGGGCUCAACCCGCGGACGGCACAUGAGACUGCGGGACUAGAGUAAUGGAGGGGUAGCCGGAAUGCUCGGUGUAGCAGUGAAAGGCGUAGAGAUC